This is a non-coding RNA of Brassica napus (rape), 107 nucleotides long. Lineage: Eukaryota; Viridiplantae; Streptophyta; Magnoliopsida; Brassicales; Brassicaceae. The record is from Rfam.
UAACCAUGAUGCGGGCAUUCAAGUUGGUGUUUUUUAAAUCUUCCCCAUGCAUCUUUAAAUGGUUCUCUAGGAUUUUGGCGGAAUGUAGAGAUCUUUCUCCUUACUUU